Long non-coding RNA from Betta splendens (Siamese fighting fish), 441 nucleotides. RefSeq lists it as uncharacterized. The transcript has 3 exons. The record is from RefSeq and is a predicted model, not a curated record. NCBI's taxonomy places the organism in Eukaryota, Metazoa, Chordata, Actinopteri, Anabantiformes, Osphronemidae.
UUGUUCUCUAUAAUCCUGAUUAAAUGGGGGUUAAUGUGUGUCUGUUAUACUUUUUCACAGACUCUUCAGCCGUGACCUUCUACAACUACAGAGGCUGCACAGAUGAACUGGCUUAUGAGACGUGAUUAGAGGGAGAGAGAGGCAGCGAGACGAGGCCGCGGCACAGAAUCCAGUUCCAUCAUCAUUAUUCUGCCGCAUCCCCUGAGGAGAGAGACAGAGCUGAGGCCGGGGCCGGGGCCGGACCGGGCUGGGGGAGAAAACACUGUAGAACCAGAACGCCAGGACCUGGGAAUGCACACAAGUGAUAUUUGGGUCUUUUCAUCAGUGCCUGUUGCCUGAGGCCACUGCUGAUUGACAGCCAAACUUUAGAAAAGAGCAAGCAGGAAAAAAGGGGAGAUCUGGUGGUGUUGGAGAUGUGAGUGGUGUGAAGCUGGGGAGAAC